RNAcentral lists this ribosomal RNA (237 nucleotides) under uncultured Lactobacillus sp. RNAcentral describes it as "partial 16S ribosomal RNA". It matches the Rfam family "Bacterial small subunit ribosomal RNA", at positions 125 to 355 of the family's 1533-position model. Lineage: Bacteria; Bacillati; Bacillota; Bacilli; Lactobacillales; Lactobacillaceae. The record is from RNAcentral.
CCUGCCCAAGAGAUCGGGAUAACACCUGGAAACAGAUGCUAAUACCGGAUAACAACAGAUGAUGCCUAUCAACUGCUUAAAAGAUGGUUCUGCUAUCACUCUUGGAUGGACCUGCGGUGCAUUAGCUAGUUGGUAGGGUAACGGCCUACCAAGGCGAUGAUGCAUAGCCGAGUUGAGAGACUGAUCGGCCACAUUGGGACUGAGACACGGCCCAAACUCCUACGGGAGGCAGCAGUA